This 506-nucleotide long non-coding RNA is filed under the name Vigna radiata. Its description in RNAcentral is "long non-coding RNA (VRAD_LNC013969)". The record is from RNAcentral. Lineage: Eukaryota; Viridiplantae; Streptophyta; Magnoliopsida; Fabales; Fabaceae.
UUGAAAUGAUCAAAAGAAAUUCACUAGACGCCACUUUUUCUGGGAGGCAGCUAGCAAAGGUAGAAUGUGUUACUACGUUAUCCCAAGAAAGGAACAAAACUGCACUAAAACACAACACAAAGAAAACAAAUUUAAUCAGUUGAACCAGAAGAUAUAAUCGAUGAAAGACUGACAAAGAUUAAACGGUAACAAUAAAAAACACGCACCUGGGAUGCAAUGCCGCAUGAGAGAAAAAGGAGAGGAGGAAGACAAUGACGUUAUCAGAAACAACAAUGCAAUGCCGCAAGAGAUAAAAAGAAGAGGUGCCGCAAGCGAGAAAAAGAAGAGGUGAAGCAAGAGAAAAAGGAGAAGAGGAAGACGCGAUAUAAGAUACUGAAUGUCGCAAAGAGUUUGCGGUUUAUUUAAAAUGAAAUGGGGCGUCGGUUGCUCCGGAAACCGACGUUUAUAGUCACAUAGACGUCGGGUAUCUAACUAAUAUGACGUUCAAGUUAACAUUUAAACUGACU